AAUAGAUACCCAGGUAGUCCAUGCCGUAAACGGUGGGCGCUAGGUGUGAGGGUCUUUUCACGACUUUCGUGCCGUAGCUAACGCAUUAAGCGCCCCGCCUGGGGAGUACGGCCGCAAGGCUAAAACUCAAAGGAAUUGACGGGGGCCCGCACAAGCGGCGGAGCAUGUGGAUUAAUUCGAUGCAACGCGAAGAACCUUACCUGGGCUUGACAUACACCGGAUCGGGCUAGAGAUAGUCUUUCCCUUUGUGGCUGAUGUACAGGUGGUGCAUGGUUGUCGUCAGCUCGUGUCGUGAGAUGUUGGGUUAAGUCCCGCAACGAGCGCAACCCUUGUCUUAUGUUGCCAGCAUUUGGUUGGGGACUCAUGAGAGACUGCCGGGGUCAACUCGGAGGAAGGUGGGGAUGACGUCAAAUCAUCAUGCCCCUUAUGUCCAGGGCUUCACACAUGCUACAAUGGUCGGUACAACGCGCAGCGACACUGUGAGGUGGAGCGAAUCGCUGAAAGCCGGCCUUAGUUCGGAUUGGGU
RNAcentral lists this ribosomal RNA (526 nucleotides) under uncultured bacterium. RNAcentral describes it as "bacterial SSU rRNA". It matches the Rfam family "Bacterial small subunit ribosomal RNA", at positions 777 to 1303 of the family's 1533-position model. The record is from RNAcentral.